GGGGUUCUAAGUUAAAACAAUAAUACUCGUAUUUAGUAUAAAUAUAAUUUACUACUUUCCCAACUGCUAUUUUUAUAAGAAAACUGGGAUCUAUCAACUAUCUUUAAAGACUUUCAUGAAAUUUCUGUAAUGGUGCCAACAAUAAUAUAAUAUAGCAUCUUCAAGGUAUGCAAUAUGUACAAAGUUAGAAGAGGUGCAGUUAAAAUAAAAUAUUCAGUAACAUGAGGUUAUUUGAUACCUACAUUGAUCAAAAUGGCUUAACACCUGUAUUUUCCCUUCAAAAAGCUUAUAACUAUUUAAACGUAUAAUAAUUGAAAAAAAAAUGGCAUGCCUAACUAUUAAGAAGACACAUUUUUUUUUUAACUAGCUGGUGCUUACACUAGCAUGGACAUAUAACAUAGCAUAGAAUCUUAAUGAAUAGAUCCCAAAAUGGAUCUAAUGUUAGGGUUCGUGUCACAGGCUAUGUUUAAAAUGUUUUUGGAAAGUUUUGAAAGCACAUUGGUAAACAGAUACCCGUGCACUUCUAACAAUUGACCUCCAGCACAGAUUUUUUUUAGGUUGAUAGCAAACCUUAAAUGGUCCUGAUCCAAAAGGUUUUAUUGAUUAUUGUGUAUAAAUUAAGUGAGAUGUUGAAAUGAUUGUUUUCCUUCUUCUGGCCAAAACCUCUCCAAGAACCCAUCUGUUUUGACACAAGAAUGAAUUUACUAUAAUGUACAUCUGAUAUAUGAUUCUCAGUUUGUAGAUUCAUGUGUUCACUAAAGAUCACAACAUGCCUUGCUUGGCUUGUGAAUUGCAGGUGCUAAAAUCAAGGCAUAAGGCAUUGCUGGGUUGCUCACUUUGGAGGAAAUGUAAAAGUGUGUCAGCAUUGAGUGUCCUAACAUUUCAGCUCAUUUGAUAGCUUGCUACCGAUUUACAACUCUAGUUAUCUAUAGGGGAAAUAAAUCACCAGAUGUCCAGAUGCUGGGUAGUCUUACAUGCACCUGAUGUCUGCUACACUCUAGCAAACUCUCAAUACCUAAAACAAAUUGCCUUUAGUGACCUAAGUGUCAUAUAAUAACAUGAAACUUGCGGAACUUACUUGGACUGAAAGUUAAUUAACUUUUUACACCUGAGAACAUCACAUGCAAUGUAUGUUU
Molecule: non-coding RNA, 1136 nt
Organism: Pelobates cultripes (western spadefoot toad)
Lineage: Eukaryota; Metazoa; Chordata; Amphibia; Anura; Pelobatidae
Source: the annotation of a GenBank genome assembly